RNAcentral lists this ribosomal RNA (260 nucleotides) under uncultured beta proteobacterium. RNAcentral describes it as "partial 16S ribosomal RNA". It matches the Rfam family "Bacterial small subunit ribosomal RNA", at positions 515 to 774 of the family's 1533-position model. Lineage: Bacteria; Pseudomonadati; Pseudomonadota; Betaproteobacteria. The record is from RNAcentral.
CCGCGGUGAUACGAAGGGUGCGAGCGUUAAUCGGAAUUACUGGGCGUAAAGGGUGCGCAGGCGGUCUUGCAAGUCAGAUGUGAAAGCCCCGGGCUUAACCUGGGAAUUGCGUUUGAAACUACAAGACUAGAGUGCAGCAGAGGGGAGUGGAAUUCCAUGUGUAGCAGUGAAAUGCGUAGAGAUGUGGAAGAACACCGAUGGCGAAGGCAGCUCCCUGGGUUGACACUGACGCUCAUGCACGAAAGCGUGGGGAGCAAACA